This 464-nucleotide ribosomal RNA is filed under the name Vreelandella stevensii. RNAcentral's name for it is "partial 16S ribosomal RNA". It matches the Rfam family "Bacterial small subunit ribosomal RNA", at positions 338 to 795 of the family's 1533-position model. Lineage: Bacteria; Pseudomonadati; Pseudomonadota; Gammaproteobacteria; Oceanospirillales; Halomonadaceae. The record is from RNAcentral.
CCUACGGGGGGCAGCAGUGGGGAAUAUUGGACAAUGGGGGGAACCCUGAUCCAGCCAUGCCGCGUGUGUAAGAAGGCCCUCGGGUUGUAAAGCACUUUCAGUGAGGAAGAACGCCUGGUGGUUAAUACCCAUCAGGAAAGACAUCACUCACAGAAGAAGCACCGGCUAACUCCGUGCCAGCAGCCGCGGUAAUACGGAGGGUGCGAGCGUUAAUCGGAAUUACUGGGCGUAAAGCGCGCGUAGGUGGCUUGAUAAGCCGGUUGUGAAAGCCCCGGGCUCAACCUGGGAACGGCAUCCGGAACUGUCAAGCUAGAGUGCAGGGGAGGAAGGUAGAAUUCCCGGUGUAGCGGUGAAAUGCGUAGAGAUCGGGAGGAAUACCAGUGGCGAAGGCGGCCUUCUGGACUGACACUGACACUGAGGUGCGAAAGCGUGGGUAGCAAACAGGAUUAGAUACCCUGGUAGUC